This is a non-coding RNA of Anas platyrhynchos (mallard), 2889 nucleotides long. The record is from RefSeq and is a predicted model, not a curated record. Lineage: Eukaryota; Metazoa; Chordata; Aves; Anseriformes; Anatidae.
GUAAAGUGAGGCAGAGGGAGGCACGUAGUGAUAAAGCAGGGUAAUGCAGGGGAAGCAUCUCAUCACAAGGAAAAAAUGUUUCAAUCUAGAAGAUAGAAAUAAUAAUUAGUAGUAAAUAUAAAAUAACCAACAGUCCAGGAAGGACCAAAGCUGUGGAACGUGAGUAGUAAGGAACAAGCGUCCAGCAGAGAGGACCGGGGGCUAUUGUGGAAAAAUCCUUCUUGCUGCCCAUUGCACAGCUGCGGCGAGAGACAAACAGCAUGCAAGGCCAUCCUAGCUGAGGGACACGAGAGUCGAAACCAAAGCAGCGAUAGUAUUACACCACCCUUGCCAAGGCUGGAAAAUAUUUUUCAGGGAUGAUUCUCCAGAUGAAUUGUGAGCUGGGAACAACGAGCCUAUAAGCCACGGGGUCGUGGUGUGAGUAUGCACGUGAAGGGGAAGUUUGCUGUUUGUAUGAACUCUAGCUGAUUUUGUAUUAUUUUGGUUUUGGAUACAUUUGUGGCUAAUCCUGCAAAUGGAUACAGCUUUCAUACACUCCUUCUGCAGCUUGCUCUGCUAGAAGAACUGAAGCCGAGAAAUCCUAUCAUUUUUUGCCACAGCACUGCCUUAGCAUGUGCCUUUCUGUCAGGAUGAUGCUGUGCAUCAACAAACACCACAGGAGAACCCAGCCCUACCAAUGCAGCUGAGCACAUAACAGGAGGGCACCUGGAGAGAAAGAGGUUGCCCCUCCAGAACAGUGCCAAGCAAGAGGCCGAGCCAUAUGACAGGCACAGGCUACAGUUAGGGCCAGCAAUGUGUAAAGGAGCUGCAAGUGCUCUGAGAUUUCUGUAUCUGGUGAUCUGUCUGCUCUGUCUUUGCCAUGUUGCUUUCCUGCUGCCUGAAUGUCCACAUCUGUUCUGAUCAGGCUCCUCUGCAGGCCCCUCGGGUGGUUGAAUCUUGGUGGGGGGAGCCGUGUAGGGGUGGGCUCAUACCUGCUUUUUUGGCAGCCCAGCCCAAAGGCUACAUCUUCAGGCACAGAGGAGAGGAAUUUAAAGAAGAUUAUGUGGUCAAAUCUAUGUGCUGUGUGGCUUCUCUGUCCACCUAUAACUGUGGCAUCAUGUGUGUGGUAAAGCUAGCAGUUUGAGAUAUUCUAGUUUCAGAGCCCUCAGCAGAACAGACUUGGACAUUUCUUCCUUAGUCCCCAGGAUGCUGCGUAUCGGGGGAACUGGAGGUGGCACUUAACAGGCUCUGCCCCAAGCCCUGCGUACCCCACAUUACAUGGCAGGAGCACAUCCAGGGGGAAAUCACCAUGCAGGGCAGAUGAAGUGUCCUCUGAAUCUAUCCCUGCAGCCUGGCCCGUCCUGUCCAUCUGCCUGGAACUGUAGAGCCAACCCAUGUCCUGGAGGCAGUGGAUUUCCUGAAACUUGCUAGCCUACAUGGUCGUGAUUGCACUCGGGGGUGUUUAAUGGCUACGGAACAACUGAAGAAAAGGUGAUAGAUCUUAUAUGUAAUUAGUAGUGCUUCCUUGGAAAGCUACUGAUGAGAUUGUGUCAAUCUGUGCCAGGUGAAGCCCUAAAGUUUUGCAAAAUUCAGAUUUUUUUUUUACUGUGAUUGUACUAGAAAAUCUUGUUUUAUUUGUAGCUGUGUCCUUGCAAAUUGCAUUAUAGACUGUGAAGUUACAGAGCUCCUGUUUUUUCCAGAAAAUGUGCACUGCAUUUAUUGUGUGGUUUUACAGCAUGUAGAAGACCUCUGGCUUUCCAGUAAUGUAACUGUGAACUAAGACAUAAUAAAGAUAGUCUGCUUUUUUUUUUUCCAGUAGUGACUAUAGAGUCAAGUUGCCUCAGUUUUUAGGUUCCUGAGCAGAAACUCCUGAAAUACCUCUGCUUUUAAGAAAAGAGGUGAGCAGAAUUUUCAGGAAAUCAGUCCUUUCUAAGGUAAAUUUGUGACCUUCUCAUAGUAGUUUUGAGGUCUUGAGAACUUUGAAGGCUAACAGCCACCUAAAGGACAGCCUUCUUUAGCAUGAGAGCCCGCUUUACUGAAAUCUCUAUCUGGCUUCUGCGGUGAUUACAAACAUUUGGACAGCAUGGAAAUUGGAUGUGUCUUUACUGACUCAGACCCUUAGCUAAAAGAAAUAUAGCCACAGCAGGAGGGGGCUAAGGAAGGGAGCAAUUCAUUUAGUUUUCCAAUAGUAUUGCAACAACAUGGCCAUCGUAAUUUAAAAGCCUUUGGAACAGUCUUCUUCAUUUCCUCCUAUCCCACUCCCUCAACUUUUUGUCUUGGUCUGGCUUUUGUUCACUUCACGCAGCCUGCCAGACCAACCUGAGCCUGCCUGAACCCAACCGGUUGGUCCCUGACGUAAUCCCGAGUGGUGACCUGAGAGGCCGACCUCAAGAUUUGCCGGGCGGAAAAGGACCCACUUGGUUUUAAAGUGCUGGCUCUGUUUUGUAAGGGGCUGGCAAAGUAUGUUUUUCUUUUUACUUUUAUAGCUUGUUCCAAAGUCCAUAGAGGAUACACAGCUGGCUGGCAAUACCACAGCUAAUUCCAUGGCUGCAGAGUCUUAAAAAGCCUCUGGUGAUGAUGCUCGAAAGCAAGGCACAGGAGUAGUGCACACUAUGUAAUAUGCACGCUGCCUACAGACCUGCAUGCACUCCACAAAUGCACAGCAUUUUCAAGGUGUUUCAUUAAUCUGUAGUGGAAAUAAAGCACACGUUUCUAUAGAUAGCAAGUUCUAAGUGCUCCUGAUCUGUGUCAGUUUUGAUUCUACUCCAUUGCUCCUUGUUCUCCCUUGUUUAAUGCCACCUGAAGUGAAUGACGCCUUCCAAACCUGUUUUACAUUUUGGUACUUGCUUGUGUCCAGACAAUAGCAAGCUGUUGUUUUAGAACUAAAUAAAUAUUCUGAUUCCAAAUGAA